Molecule: ribosomal RNA, 497 nt
Filed under: uncultured bacterium
Lineage: Bacteria
Description: partial 16S ribosomal RNA
Rfam family: Bacterial small subunit ribosomal RNA
Source: RNAcentral
GAUGAACGCUGGCGGCGUGCCUAAUACAUGCAAGUCGAGCGAACGGACGAGAAGCUUGCUUCUCUGAUGUUAGCGGCGGACGGGUGAGUAACACGUGGAUGACCUACCUAUAAGACUGGGAUAACUUCGGGAAACCGGAGCUAAUACCGGAUGAUAUUUUGAACCGCAUGGUUCAAAAGUGAAAGACGGUCUUGCUGUCACUUAUAGAUGGAUCCGCGCUGCAUUAGCUAGUUGGUAAGGUAACGGCUUACCAAGGCAACGAUGCAUAGCCGACCUGAGAGGGUGAUCGGCCACACUGGAACUGAGACACGGUCCAGACUCCUACGGGAGGCAGCAGUAGGGAAUCUUCCGCAAUGGGCGAAAGCCUGACGGAGCAACGCCGCGUGAGUGAUGAAGGUCUUCGGAUCGUAAAACUCUGUUAUUAGGGAAGAACAUAUGUGUAAGUAACUGUGCACAUCUUGACGGUACCUAAUCAGAAAGCCACGGCUAACUACGUG